UCGAGGGGCAGCAUAUAGAUUGCUUGCAAUUUAUGAUGGCGACCGGCGCACGGGUGAGUAACGCGUAUCCAACCUACCCAUUACUAGGGAAUAACCCAGCGAAAGUUGGCCUAAUGCCCUAUGUAGUCGUUUGAUCGCCUGAGAUUUCGACGAAAGAUUUAUCGGUAUUGGAUGGGGAUGCGUCUGAUUAGCUUGUUGGCGUGGUAAAGGCCCACCAAGGCAACGAUCAGUAGGGGUUCUGAGAGGAAGGUCACCCACAUUGGAACUGAGACACGGUCCAAACUCCUACGGGAGGCAGCAGUGAGGAAUAUUGGUCAAUGGGCGAGAGCCUGAACCAGCCAAGUAGCGUGCAGGAUGACGGCCCUAUGGGUUGUAAACUGCUUUUAUAUGGGAAUAAAGUGAGGGACGUGUCCCUUAUUGCAUGUACCAUACGAAUAAGGACCGGCUAAUUCCGUGCCAGCAGCCGCGGUAAUACGGAAGGUCCAGGCGUUAUCCGGAUUUAUUGGGUUUAAAGGGAGCGUAGGCUGUUUGUUAAGCGUGUUGUGAAAUGUAGGAGCUCAACUUUUAGAUUGCAGCGCGAACUGGCAGACUUGAGUGCGCACAACGUAGGCGGAAUUCAUGGUGUAGCGGUGAAAUGCUUAGAUAUCAUGA
Molecule: ribosomal RNA, 651 nt
Filed under: uncultured bacterium
Lineage: Bacteria
Description: bacterial SSU rRNA
Rfam family: Bacterial small subunit ribosomal RNA
Source: RNAcentral